This 497-nucleotide ribosomal RNA is filed under the name uncultured bacterium. RNAcentral describes it as "partial 16S ribosomal RNA". It matches the Rfam family "Bacterial small subunit ribosomal RNA", at positions 28 to 507 of the family's 1533-position model. The record is from RNAcentral.
GAUGAACGCUGGCGGCGUGCCUAAUACAUGCAAGUCGAGCGAACGGACGAGAAGCUUGCUUCUCUGAUGUUAGCGGCGGACGGGUGAGUAACACGUGGAUAACCUACCUAUAAGACUGGGAUAACUUCGGGAAACCGGAGCUAAUACCGGAUAAUAUUUUGAACCGCAUGGUUCAAAAGUGAAAGACGGUCUUGCUGUCACUUAUAGAUGGAUCCGCGCUGCAUUAGCUAGUUGGUAAGGUAACGGCUUACCAAGGCAACGAUGCAUAGCCGACCUGAGAGGGUGAGCGGCCACCCUGGAACUGAGACACGGUCCAGACUCCUACGGGAGGCAGCAGUAGGGAAUCUUCCGCAAUGGGCGAAAGCCUGACGGAGCAACGCCGCGUGAGUGAUGAAGGUCUUCGGAUCGUAAAACUCUGUUAUUAGGGAAGAACAUAUGUGUAAGUAACUGUGCACAUCUUGACGGUACCUAAUCAGAAAGCCACGGCUAACUACGUG